RNAcentral lists this ribosomal RNA (253 nucleotides) under uncultured bacterium. RNAcentral's name for it is "partial 16S ribosomal RNA". It matches the Rfam family "Bacterial small subunit ribosomal RNA", at positions 524 to 776 of the family's 1533-position model. The record is from RNAcentral.
UACGGGGGGAGCAAGCGUUGUUCGGAUUUACUGGGCGUAAAGAGCGCGCAGGCGGUCGAUCAAGUCGAGUGUGAAAGCCCCCGGCUCAACUGGGGAGGGUCAUUCGAAACUGGUCGACUCGAAGGCAGGAGAGGGUAGUGGAAUUCCCGGUGUAGUGGUGAAAUGCGUAGAUAUCGGGAGGAACACCAGUGGCGAAGGCGACUACCUGGCCUGUUCUUGACGCUGAGGCGCGAAAGCUAGGGGAGCAAACGGG